Molecule: ribosomal RNA, 516 nt
Filed under: Ceratitis pedestris
Lineage: Eukaryota; Metazoa; Arthropoda; Insecta; Diptera; Tephritidae
Description: partial 16S ribosomal RNA
Rfam family: Bacterial large subunit ribosomal RNA (bases 392-516)
Source: RNAcentral
GUCUUUUUGAGUUAUUUUUAAAGUCUAACCUGCCCACUGUUUUUUUUUAAAUGGCCGCAGUAUUCUAACUGUGCAAAGGUAGCAUAAUCAUUAGUCUUUUAAUUGAAGGCUGGUAUGAAUGGUUGGACGAAGUAUAAGCUGUUUCAUAUAAAAUUUUAUUAGAACUUUAUAUUUUAGUCAAAAAGCUAAAAUUUUUUUAAAAGACGAGAAGACCCUAUAAAUCUUUAUAUUUAAUAUUAUUCAAAUUUUUUUGAUUUAUUUUAUUUAUAUAAUAUUAAAUAUUUUGUUGGGGUGAUGUUAAAAUUUAAUGAACUUUUAAUUGUUAAUUUAAAUCAUUAAUUUAUGAAUAAUUGAUCCAUUAUUAGUGAUUAUAAGAUUAAGUUACUUUAGGGAUAACAGCGUAAUUUUUUUUGAGAGUUCAUAUCGAUAAAAAAGUUUGCGACCUCGAUGUUGGAUUAAGAUAUAUAUUUAGGUGUAGCCGUUUAAAUAUUAAGUCUGUUCGACUUUUAAAUUCUU